This 73-nucleotide microRNA precursor is filed under the name Myotis brandtii (Brandt's bat). RNAcentral describes it as "mir-9193 microRNA precursor family". It matches the Rfam family "mir-9193 microRNA precursor family". The record is from Rfam by way of RNAcentral. Lineage: Eukaryota; Metazoa; Chordata; Mammalia; Chiroptera; Vespertilionidae.
CUCGGGGGGGGGGGGUCCUCAGCCCGGAUUGUGAGAGGGCGCAGGCCAGGCUGAGGGACCCCACCUGUGCACG